UCAAACAUGCUAUAUCUCUUAUGUUAUGUUAAUCCCUCUCCCUCUAUCCCCUUUGUGUGAGUUUUGUCCUGGGUCAUAGCAGCACUAUGGAUUGCUGUCUUUGAUCCAGAACUAGACUUUUUGAGUCUUUACUCAAUUGCUUUCCCAUUCCCUUUCCCCUCAAUGUGUUGAGCCCUAAUUUGGGUGUGUUGGUGUCCUGAUUACCAUUCAGACCUGAGUUUGACUCUAUAAGAGUUUGCUCUUAUUUGUUUGAAUCUGAGCAAGAGGUUAGGGAUGUGCCAGUCUAUGCCAUGAUUGGGUAUGACUACCCCCUGAUAAGGUUCCUCUCUCACUUUACACCUACUCGCUCUUAUGUUCUACCCCCCUCUGGUAAGCCAUGCUUAGGGACCCUAGAGCUUCCUCUGAACUUGGAUGCCUAAGGGCUAGUAAUUCCACACAUUGCACUACUCUGCUACAACAUUCACUCUUUAGGGUGUAAGCAUUGCCUGGGAUCUUGAAGCUCCUUGGAACUUUGAAACACUCUAAGAGAAGGCCUUGGAAUCUGGAACCCAGAUUUGGUA
This 560-nucleotide long non-coding RNA is filed under the name Nicotiana benthamiana. RNAcentral describes it as "long non-coding RNA (NBEN_LNC013712)". The record is from RNAcentral. Lineage: Eukaryota; Viridiplantae; Streptophyta; Magnoliopsida; Solanales; Solanaceae.